CUGGUAUUAAAUAUUGCUGCAGGUAUAAAACAUGUCAGCUACUCCAUUAGCUCUCCGCACGUAUUGUACACAGGGUUAAAGCUACAAAAUACUGAUAGACUCCUUAUUACGCACAGUGUACACAGGGUUAAAGCUACAAAAUACUGAUAGACUCCUUAUUACGCACAGUGUACACAGGGUUAAAGCAGCAGCAUACUGAUAGAUUCCUUAUUACACACAGUGUAC
Pelobates cultripes (western spadefoot toad) is the source of this 225-nucleotide non-coding RNA. Lineage: Eukaryota; Metazoa; Chordata; Amphibia; Anura; Pelobatidae. The record is from the annotation of a GenBank genome assembly.